This 929-nucleotide unclassified non-coding RNA is filed under the name Hevea brasiliensis (rubber tree). The record is from RNAcentral. Lineage: Eukaryota; Viridiplantae; Streptophyta; Magnoliopsida; Malpighiales; Euphorbiaceae.
CUUAGUUGAGUUGAGUUGAGUAUCCUUGCUGAAAGUUGAUCAAAUUAUCGAAAAUUUACGAUUUUGGCAUUUGUUUGAGCAAUUGAAUUUUAUGUGCUUACAGUGGUCUCUUUGAAUUUGGGUGGGCUUUUUUUUACUAUUUUUUAGGGUUUUAAUUGUUUCUCUCAUUGGAUAGGUUCUUUAAGAGAGUAAGAGAAAUGCAACAUGCUAUUGGGGGUGAUAUCUAUUUUUAGAUUAUUUAAUAUUUUAGUCUAAUAUAAUUUCUGGAUAAUGUUGACUUGGGAAGUUUCUUCGGUUGAGAACGACUUGGUAGAUUGAAGAAUAUUUAAACUUAAUUUCCCCUCUCUCUAGCCCCCAAUGUUAAUUAUUUUUAACUGGUUAUUUACUUAUGACUAUAGAACAUUUACGUAGCAAUAUUUUUGUCUUUUAAUUUCAUCUGUGAUAUUUUCGCAAGUUGACAGUGAAUUUUUUCCCCCAUUUUAUGCUCGACUUCAUUUUGAAUUUUUAUAGUGGCAAAGAUGAAAAGGUGAAAGAUUAAAACUCUGCGAAUUUUGAAGUUCUUUUCGAUUACAUGUGUUCUUCAUGGUGAAAUUUAUUAAAUGUUGUGUAAUAAUUAACUGACUCUUUUUAUAUUUAAUAUUUUGUUGCCUGUAGCAUUACGUGGCUAAUUUGCAAGUUUCUUAUUUAUGCUACUACUAAAUUUUUAGCGUCUGUGUUGAGAGAACAGAGGGAACAAGAUCUAUUAUUGGCUUUUUGAAUAAUGUGAUUAGACCAUCUGGACUUGUCGCUUUCUAUGUGAUUUGAAUGUUCUGAAAAUACGAAUUCCUUCUCACUUCUCGUCCAUACACAUUUGUAAUGUUCUCAUAGCAGACCAUUUAAAUGAAAUUUAAAAAAUGUUAACUACAAAAGAAUUCUAAUUGAUGUUUCAA